UUUAGAUUAAUAAUUUAAGGUCUAAUCUGCCCACUGAUUAAUUGAAUGGCCGCAGUAAUUUGACUGUGCAAAGGUAGCAUAAUCAUUAGUUUUUUAAUUAAAAGCUUGUAUGAAUGAUUGGACGAGAUAAAAUCUGUCUCUUAAUUAAAAUUAAAAUUUAAUUUUUAAGUUAAAAAGCUUAAAUUUUUAUAAAAGACGAGAAGACCCUAUAGAUCUUUAUUUAUUUAAAUUAUAAAUUUUAUAUUGAUUUUUUUAUUAUUUAUUUUUUAAUAAAUUUUAUUGGGGUAAUAAAAAGAUUUAAUAAAUUCUUUUAAAAAUUUUACAUUUAUUAAUGAUUUUUUGAUCCAUUAUUAAUGAUUUUAAGAUUAAGUUACCUUAGGGAUAACAGCGUAAUUUUUUUAGAGAGUUCAUAUCGAUAAAAAGGAUUGCGACCUCGAUGUUGGAUUAAAAGUAAUUUCAGGUGCAGAAGUCUGAAGUUUUGGUCUGUUCGACCAUUAGAUUUUUACAUGAUCUGAGUUCAAACCGGUGUAAGCCAGGUUGGUUUCUAUCUUUAUAUAAUUAAUUUAUUUUAGUACGAAAGGACCAAAUAUUAAAUAAAUUAUUUUUAUUUUUGAAUAAGA
This 620-nucleotide ribosomal RNA is filed under the name Hyphydrus decemmaculatus. RNAcentral's name for it is "partial 16S ribosomal RNA". The stretch from base 381 to 539 matches the Rfam family "Bacterial large subunit ribosomal RNA", at positions 2473 to 2632 of the family's 2925-position model. The record is from RNAcentral. Lineage: Eukaryota; Metazoa; Arthropoda; Insecta; Coleoptera; Dytiscidae.